GGCAUGGUUGUCGUUCAGCUCGUGUCGUGAGAUGUGGUUAAGUCCCGCAACGAGCGCAACCCUCGACCUUAGUUGCCAGCAUUCAGUUUGGGCACUCUAAAGGUGACUGCCGGCUAAAAAGUCGGAGGAAGGUGGGGAUGACGUCAAAUCAUCAUGCCCCUUAUGACCUGGGCUACACACGUGCUACAAUGGGCGGUACAAAGGGUCGCGAACCCGCGAGGAGGAGCCAAUCCCAAAAAGCCGCUCUCAGUUCGGAUUGCAGGCUGCAACUCGCCUGCAUGAAGCCGGAAUCGCUAGUAAUCGCGGAUCCAGCAUGCCGCGGUGAAUACGUUCCCGGGCCUU
Molecule: ribosomal RNA, 342 nt
Filed under: uncultured Anoxybacillus sp.
Lineage: Bacteria; Bacillati; Bacillota; Bacilli; Caryophanales; Anoxybacillaceae
Description: bacterial SSU rRNA
Rfam family: Bacterial small subunit ribosomal RNA
Source: RNAcentral